AAUAGAUACCCAGGUAGUCCACGCCGUAAACGAUGAGUGCUAAGUGUUAGAGGGUUUCCGCCCUUUAGUGCUGCAGCUAACGCAUUAAGCACUCCGCCUGGGGAGUACGGUCGCAAGACUGAAACUCAAAGGAAUUGACGGGGGCCCGCACAAGCGGUGGAGCAUGUGGUUUAAUUCGAAGCAACGCGAAGAACCUUACCAGGUCUUGACAUCCUCUGACAACUCUAGAGAUAGAGCGUUCCCCUUCGGGGGACAGAGUGACAGGUGGUGCAUGGUUGUCGUCAGCUCGUGUCGUGAGAUGUCGGGUUAAGUCCCGCAACGAGCGCAACCCUUGAUCUUAGUUGCCAGCAUUUAGUUGGGCACUCUAAGGUGACUGCCGGUGACAAACCGGAGGAAGGUGGGGAUGACGUCAAAUCAUCAUGCCCCUUAUGACCUGGGCUACACACGUGCUACAAUGGAUGGUACAAAGGGCUGCAAGACCGCGAGGUCAAGCCAAUCCCAUAAAACCAUUCUCAGUUCGGAUUGUAGG
RNAcentral lists this ribosomal RNA (529 nucleotides) under uncultured bacterium. RNAcentral's name for it is "bacterial SSU rRNA". It matches the Rfam family "Bacterial small subunit ribosomal RNA", at positions 777 to 1304 of the family's 1533-position model. The record is from RNAcentral.